Molecule: long non-coding RNA, 478 nt
Filed under: Physcomitrium patens
Lineage: Eukaryota; Viridiplantae; Streptophyta; Bryopsida; Funariales; Funariaceae
Description: long non-coding RNA (PPAT_LNC008885)
Source: RNAcentral
AGAGGUGUGCAAAACUUGAGUUAAAAUCAAGAAUUCAUUUAUUAGUUAUUGAGGUUUAAAUCUGUUGUAGGAAUUAUUUGGAUUAUUUAGGAUUUGGUUAGGAUAUGUUUAGAGUUUGAUUAGGAUUCUCUUAAGGUUUGUUUAGAUUUGUUUAGGUUUUGAUUAAGAUUUGUUAGGAUUGAUUAGGAUUUGGUUAGAAUUUAACUAGGAUUAGAUUAGGAUUUGGUUAGGAUUUUAUUUAGAUUUGGUUAGGAUUUGGUUAGAAUUUGAUUAAAUUUUAUUUAAGAUUUGAUUAGGAUUUGGUUAGGAUUUGAUUAGGAAGUAGUUAGGAUUUGGCUAGGAUUUAGUUAGGAUUUGAUUAAAAUUUGACUAGGAUUUAUUUAGGAUUUGGUUAGGAUUUGACUGGAAUUUAAUUAAGAUUUCUAUUUUAGUAUAUUUUUGAAUUCCUAUAUUAUUUCUUUAUGAUUUCUUUAAAGUG